RNA transcript from Numida meleagris (helmeted guineafowl), 2024 nucleotides. It is a transcript of the gene named zinc finger DHHC-type containing 6, with no coding region annotated. Lineage: Eukaryota; Metazoa; Chordata; Aves; Galliformes; Numididae. The transcript is spliced from 11 exons. The record is from RefSeq and is a predicted model, not a curated record.
GGCGGGGCCGAGGCCCGGCGGGCCCCAACGCCUCCCCUUCCCCUUCCCGUUCCUCCCGGCGGGACGGCGAGGGGCUGAGGGAGCCAUGCGCGGCGGCGGCGGUGAGGAGGCGUCGGGCGGGCGACGGUAGCGGCCAUGGGCGGCCCCGGGGGGCUGCGGGAGGUUCGGCGGCUGUGCCACUGGGGGCCGCUGGUGGCCCUGUCCGUGGUGAUCGUGUGCUCCGCCACCGCCAUCGCGGACGCCGUGCUGUGGUACUGGCCCCUGGACACGGCCGGGGGGAGCGUCAACUUCAUCAUGCUCCUGAACUGGACCGUCAUGAUUCUCUACAAUUACUUUAACGCCAUGUUUGUCGGCCCCGGGUACGUCCCGCUGGGGUGGACACCGGAAAAAUCUCAGGAUUGCAUGUAUCUCCAGUACUGUAAAGUAUGUCAGUCUUACAAGGCACCACGUUCACACCACUGUCGAAAGUGUAACAGAUGUGUCAUGAAGAUGGAUCACCAUUGUCCUUGGAUCAACAACUGUUGUGGUUACCAGAAUCAUGCAUCUUUCACUUUGUUUCUCUUCUUAGCACCACUGGGAUGCAUUCAUGCAUCUUUCAUAUUUGUAAUGACUAUGUAUACUCAGCUUUACAACAGAAUAUCUUUUGGGUGGAGUUCUGUAAAAAUUGACAUGAGUGCAGCCAAAAGAGACCCUCGAACCAUUAUUCCCUUUGGACUGUCUGCAUUUGCUGCAUCUUUAUUUGCCUUAGGACUGGCGUUAGGAACAACAAUUGCUGUUGGUAUGCUGUUUAUUAUUCAGAUGAAAGUCAUUUUGACAAAUAAAACUUCAAUCGAGUCCUGGAUUGAAGAAAAGGCCAAAGACAGAAUCCAGUACUACCAAACAGAUGAAACCUUUAUUUUUCCUUAUGAUACGGGAAGUAAAUGGAAGAACUUCAAACAAGUGUUUACGUGGUCUGGGAUUCCUGAGGGAGAUGGCCUGGACUGGCCAGUAAGAGAAGGCUGUCAUCGAUACAGUUUGACGAUAGAGCAACUGAAACAGAAAGCAGACAAGCGAGUAAGAAGUGUGCGGUAUAGAGCCAUAGAAGAUUACAGUGGUGUCUGCUGCCCUGUGACUAAAGGUGUUAAAACAUUCUUCACAACACCAUGUACUGAAGAACCUAGAAUUGCACUGAGUAAAGGGGAUCUGAUUUUAGCCACAAGAGGCUUAAAACACUGGAUGUAUGGUGAGAAGAUUCUUAACUCAGCUGGUGAUGAAAUUUGGCUGAAGUACUGACAUAAGCAAAAGUGUUUGCUACAUCUCCAGAAAGGAGAAGAUCAGCUGUAGAGGAUUGUGUGGAAAACAGUGAGAAUACUUGGAGCGCUAGAAAAUUGGACCUAUAUGGAAAAGCUGAAGGAGUUGAGGUUCCUUAACUGGAGAGGAAAAAGAGAUAGCAGAAAGCCAGGGUGGAAUAAGAGAACGAGGCUGGUUCCCUAGGAAAUGUGUGGAAAAAUGCCAAUAUGACUCUGAAACGGAUCAACCAGUGGAUGGAGAGAAGAAAAGCAGAUAGCCUUCUCAUUUUUUUUAACAAGAAAUUGAGUUUUUUACUUCGGACCAUAAUCUCUUACUUGAAAUUUUCUGUAUAUUACUUUAGACUUAUGCAAUGACUAUGUUGGAGCAAGAUUUUCUUUUCCUCACAGUUGAAAGGGUUGGAUAUGCCUGUGCCAUGGUUUGCAUUCUUUUUUGACAAUAAAUAAUUGAAGAAGCCAUUCAGUGGAUUGCCUUCAAGAUGCAUCUUUCUCAUCCCAAGUCAGGUUUCUAUUCUUUCUGCUGUUUAAACUGCAUUCUAAGGAGCCAUCUUUUAGUUUUCUUCCACAACUGCAUCUGUUGUGAUGCGUGACACAUCUCUCUCGUAUUUUACUUUCUUUGAAGCUGCCCCCUGAAAAAUACAAAAUAAAUCUCUAAUUCAGAUUCAAGAUAUGAUUUGUUACCCGUGACUUUUAAUGAUGUGAAUUAUCCACCUCAAAUAAAUAAUAUGUUCAUAUUUA